CAAAGGGCUUCUAUUGUUUGGUGUGAUUUAACCUUAAGAUGGAAACAUCUGAGCCUUGCUAGAGAGGCUUCCCCGGAACAACGGCUGGGGGUGGGGAGCUGUGACUUAUCAGCUUCCCUAUGUUUAUUUUCAUUUCCUGAUGGAGAGUAAAUCUUAUAAACAAAUGAAAAACCUGUGGACUUAUCUUUAAAGACUACAAGGAAAAGGGGAACUGGGCAAACUAUUGCAACUCAAAGUCGUGGAAAGGCAGGAGGGGGAGUGGGGAAUUUAGAAAGAUAUUUCCAAGAGAUGGCAGAUAGGUCCCUGGGGGCCUGUGGCCAGCCUGGAGAGGGAGAGACCAAGCCAGAGGCUGUGGAAAGCUCUAGAGACUUUGUACUAGAAAGGCUGCUGUUGGUGGCAGAGCUUACAUGGCCAGGGAUCCCGGAGGACCUGGAAGGGGUUUUAAUGGACUUUUGAGAAUCAAAGUGAACUGCCAGGGACAAACAAGAGUGGCGAGGAAAUGGAAGCAGUCAUACCACUCAGGCUGGAAAAUCGCUCUAGGAAUGGCAAGAAGGGCUCUUUCUCACUUGGAUGGUCCCCAGAAAGUCAGCUGCCAUGUCACGAAGUGCCCUGUGAGAAGGACCUGUAAGGAGGGACGGAGGGAGGCCUCUAAAUGACAGCCUUCGAGGAACUGAAUCCUGCUGGUGACCAUGUGAGGGAGCUUGGACUCCGGUCCCCCUGUGUUGAGCCUUCAGAUGAGUUGGCAGCCCCAGCUGGUGGCAUGACUGUAACGUCCUGAAACACCUUCAGCCAGAAAGCAUUCAGCUAAACCACACCUGUAUUUCUGACCCAAAGAAAUUGUGAGAUAAUAAACAUUUCUUCUCUUGAAAAAAAAAAAAAAAAAAAAAAAAAAAAAAAAA
RNAcentral lists this long non-coding RNA (899 nucleotides) under Homo sapiens (human). RNAcentral describes it as "long independently transcribed non-coding RNA 2387 (LINC02387)". Lineage: Eukaryota; Metazoa; Chordata; Mammalia; Primates; Hominidae. The record is from RNAcentral.